AUUGAACGCUGGCGGCAUGCCUUACACAUGCAAGUCGAACGGUAACAGGUCUUCGGAUGCUGACGAGUGGCGAACGGGUGAGUAAUACAUCGGAACGUGCCUAGUAGUGGGGGAUAACUACUCGAAAGAGUGGCUAAUACCGCAUGAGAUCUACGGAUGAAAGCAGGGGAUCGCAAGACCUUGUGCUACUAGAGCGGCCGAUGGCAGAUUAGGUAGUUGGUGGGAUAAAAGCUUACCAAGCCGACGAUCUGUAGCUGGUCUGAGAGGACGAUCAGCCACACUGGGACUGAGACACGGCCCAGACUCCUACGGGAGGCAGCAGUGGGGAAUUUUGGACAAUGGGCGCAAGCCUGAUCCAGCAAUGCCGCGCGCAGGAAGAAGGCCUUCGGGUUGUAAACUGCUUUUGUACGGAACGAAACGGCUCUGGUUAAUACCUGGGGCUAAUGACGGUACCGUAAGAAUAAGCACCGGCUAACUACGUGCCAGCCGCCGCGGUAA
RNAcentral lists this ribosomal RNA (498 nucleotides) under uncultured bacterium. RNAcentral's name for it is "partial 16S ribosomal RNA". It matches the Rfam family "Bacterial small subunit ribosomal RNA", at positions 30 to 523 of the family's 1533-position model. The record is from RNAcentral.